CAUAAAACAUCAGAAUUCACAUGGGGGAGAAACCUUAUGAAUGGAAUGAAUGUUGGAAAACUCUGCCAAAAUCACACAAUAUAACAUCAGAGAAUUUAUUACAUGGUGGAAAUCUUGUAAUAAAUGUGGGAAAGCCUUUUGUCAGAAGGAAUACCUCAUAACAUGUAGAUCAAACAGGGGAGAGAACUUAAGAAUAUAGUAAAUAUGAAGGACUUUUUGCAAAAGCAACAUAACCAUGUGACAGAGCCUUUUGCUGGAAAUUACAUCCCAUACAAUAGGCACUCCCAUAAGGAAGAAAGGUUGGGACCAGCGCUGUGGCACAGUAGGUUAAAGCCCUGGCCUGAAAUGCUGGCAUACCAUGUGGGCACUGGUUCUAGUCCCAGUUGCUCCUCUUCUGAUCCAGCUCUCUGCUAUGGCCUGGGAAAGCAGUAGAAGAUGGCCCUGCACCCACAUGGGAGACCCAGAAGAAGCUCCUGACUCCUGGCUUUGGAUCGCUGCAGCUCCAGCCAUUGCAUCCAUCUGGGGAGUGAAGUAGCAGAUGGAAGACCUCUUUCUGCUUCUCUGUCUCUCUAACUCUGUCUUUCAAAUAAAAAAAUUAAAUUGUUAAAAAAAGAAGUUCAGAAAUAUUAUUAGUGUGACAAAAAGCCAUUUGUCAGAAAUGGCAUUAUACAUCAGAAAAUUCACCCAAGGUGUUUCUUAGCAGUGUAAUGAAUGUGGAAGUAUAUUUUCAUAGAAUUCAGGCUUGCAUAAAUAUGCAACUCAAAAAAGGUGAUAUCCUUCAAGUGCAACAGACCUCAAAAAACCAUAGCCAGAAAUUAAACAUCAGGCUGGCACCAUGGAGCAAUAGGUUAAUCCUCCACCUUCUAUGCUGGCAUCCAUAUAGGUGCCAGUUCUAGUCCCAGCUGCCCGUCUUCAAUCCAGCUCUUUACUGUGGCCUGGGAAAGCAGUAGAAGACAGCCCAAGUGCUUGGGCCUCUGCACCCACAUGGAAGACCAGGAAGAAGCACCUGGCUCCUGGUUUCAGAUCAGUGCAGCUCUGGCCACUGUGGCCAUUUGAGGAGUGAAACAACAGAAGGAAGACCUUUAUCUCUGUCCCUCUCACUGUCUGUAACUCUACCUGUCAAAUAAAUAAAAAUAUUAAAAAAAAAACAAGAAAUUAAACAUCAACUAACAUCAGAGAAUUCAUACAGUAAAAUGUCAAUUUAAUGAAUGUGAAAAAAUUUUUCUGCCAUUAAUCAAUUCACAUGAAGAGACUCCAAAAUGAGAAAACAUAUGUGCAUAGAAAAGUCAUGUACCAUGGCCAUGGUGAUUUCACUUUUAUUGUAAGAUCAUCAUCACCCCCAACAUUCUUUAAGUUGCCCUGGAAACUGUGAGGUACACAGUGUCUCAGGGCCAUUUUAGCCAAGAGUAAUAAUUCUUUCUCCUCAAUGUAAUAUAUAUAUAUAUGAAUAUAUGUAACAUAUAUAACAUAUAUAUAUUUUAUACAUAGAUAAAUUUGCCACUGUGUGUCUAGAUACUAGUAUAUUUCCUGAAAAUUAUGCGGGAAAAUAGUGGGAUCUUAAUGUGAUUUUUAUCCCAGAAUUAGGUAUGUUUAUUUAAUUUUAGAGGUUGGUAGACUUGGAGACACAGAGAAACAGAGAUUAUGAGCUACAACUUGGUGGCUUACUCUUCAUUCUUGUAAUGAUCAGAAACUGGAUUAUUACAGAAAGCUGAGCUAUUCUUUUCUGAUGAUAAAUACAUUAUAAAAAUUUCAAAAGGUUGCUCUAUAUAUUUAUAUUACAAAUUAUAUAUAUGUACAUUUAUAUUGUAAUGUCAUAAAGUAAACACACACACAUAUAUAUUAUAUAUAUAAACACCUUUAAAAUUCUCCUUGUUAUUGGUAUAAAUAUUUUGAAUUUUAAAUAUUUACUUCCUUUUAAAAUUUUAUUUAAUAUAAGUUUGAUAUAUUUCAUAUAUACAGACUAAUGAAUGUAAGUGACACUUCCCCUGAUACCCUCCCUCCCACACACAGUCCAACCCUUUCUCCUCUUCCCUCUCACAUUCCCACUUAACUUUUACAAAAUCUGUUUUCAGUUUACUUAAUGAUUGUAUAGUUAACCCUACACUAAGUAAGAGUUCAACAAGUCAUCAAAUAGUAUGAAGAAAAAAAAUGAAUUUAAAAAACUCACUGUUACUCAAUGGAAGAGACAAGGACUCUAAACAAUCAUCAAAUCUCAAAAUGUGUAUCUAACUCCAAUACAUUACAUUUUAGGUACUCUAUUAGCUACCUCAGAUCAGGGAAAAUAUAGGAUAUCUGUCUUUUGGAGACUUGUUUAUUUUACUAAGUAUAAUGGUUUCCAGCUUCAUCUAUCUUGUUGCAAAAGACAGGGUUUCUUUUUCUUUCUUUCUUUUUUAAUAACUGAGUAGUACGCCAUAGUGUGUAUAUACCAUAAUUUUCUUAUCAAGUCAACAAUUGAUAUCUGGAUUGUUCCCAGAUCUCAGCUAUUGUGAAUUGUGCUGCAAUGAACAUGGGGUUAUAGAUAACUCUUGCAUAUGCUAAUUUUGUUUGGGUAAAUUCCAUGGAGUGGGAUGGCUAGAUCAAAUGGUAGGCCUAUAAUCAGAUUUGUAAGAUAUCUCCAUACAGUUUUUCACAGUGGCUUGCAUCAGUUUACAUUCCCACUAGCAGUGGACCAGCAUAACUUUUUUCCACAUCCUCAUCAGCUUUGUCAUUUGUUGAUUUUUUUUUUUUUUGACAGGCAGAGUUAGGCAGUGAGAGAGAGAGAGACAGAGACAGAGAGAAAGUCUUCCUUCCAUUGGUUCAGCCCCCAAAUGGCCACUACGGCUGGUGCACUGCAGCCAGCAUGCUGCGCUGAUCUGAAACCAGGAGCCAGGUGCUUCCUCCUGGUCUCCCAUGCGGGUGCUAUUCUUUCUUCCCUAGUUCUGACUCUUAAAACUGUUCCAAAUUAUGGGAUUUGAUUCAAUGCACCAGGUCUUAAAUUUAAGGUUUUAUUUCUGACUUUUGAACAACCAAAGGGACAGAUUCUGUGUUAUUUUAAAGUAAUCUACUAUGUUCUCUUAAUGCCUCUUAAGUUCUAAUUGUUUAAAACAACUGAGUUUUAAAGGAGUUAUGAUUUGAUCAAAUCUGACCCUUGGGCUAGAUGGUGAAAGUGACAUCUUAAGUUUUAACAUAUUUAUAUAUAUAUAUAUAUAUAUAUGAUUAAGUUUAAAAGUGACUGUAUUUGAUUGCAUUAAGUUUUAAGUUGAUCAUGUAGGAGGCACUGUUAAAGUGAUCAUAUCAACAGAAUUAAAGAGUAGUAAAUGCUUGAACAUGGGAAGCAGUCCAUACAGCAGACUCAUAGAAUGGCAAUUGCUCUAAGUAAUGCUCAAUGACCUCAGAGUCAUCCCUAAAGGCAUUCUGGUCUGGCUAAAAAGCCCACAAGAGCAUUUCAGGCAUGGAAAGUCAGGACACUUGUGCAAAAAGGUGUGCCUACAUGGAGAGUCUCCCUGGGUGAGACUCCUGUGGAAAGAAGUGGUCAUCAAAGAAGGAUGUACUCUCUUCAAAGGGAGAACUUUCACUUUGCUUAUGGCCUUCUCUAAAUAUUGAUGGAUUUUGUAGAUUCAGAAGGCUUCCAUAGCCUAGACAGUUCAUGUCAAGAGCCUUGGGUGAUCACUGACAGCACACAAAAGAGUGUGAAUUGUGAAAUUAACCACAGGAGUCACUGUGCAUUAACUUCCCAUGCAGGACCAUAAGACUAUGCUUAAAAAACAGAGGGGAGAGUACGGUACCCCCACUAUGAGUGUAUUAACUUUGCUCCUUUCACCGUAAAGUUCUUACAGGUCUCACCCCCUGGAGAGCCACCAGCAGUGAGACACUGGAGACCUUUCACAGAGAUCACUCUGCAGCCUGUGUGGAUAGCAACCUGAAAUGCCAAACCCUGGACCCAGUCUCUGAAAGCUGACCCUCUACAAACCAACUUCAGCACCUUUCCCUGAACAAGCCAUUCAUAGAAAGAUCCUCUUCAGAUGGGCUACAGCUUAAAUGGAAGGGACCUUACCAGGUGCUACUGAACAUGACUACCUCAGUAAAAUUAGGAUUAAUGUCUACCUCUCAAGUCCUCACAGGUGUACUCAAAAGAUAUGCCUGAUUAUUCCUGUAAGCCAGAGAUCUUAAGCAAAAAGAAAAGUAAAGCCUUUGCUUUCCUCACAUCAAGAGUGCUGCUCCUGAAGGCAGGCAUGGUGUACCUGCCUCUUUGAUUCUCUCUGUUAUCAACAAUAAAACUCCUAAUGUGUUCUUCUAAUAUAA
Non-coding RNA from Oryctolagus cuniculus (rabbit), 4281 nucleotides. The record is from RefSeq and is a predicted model, not a curated record. Lineage: Eukaryota; Metazoa; Chordata; Mammalia; Lagomorpha; Leporidae.